Molecule: ribosomal RNA, 253 nt
Filed under: uncultured bacterium
Lineage: Bacteria
Description: partial 16S ribosomal RNA
Rfam family: Bacterial small subunit ribosomal RNA
Source: RNAcentral
UACGGAGGGUGCAAGCGUUAUCCGGAUUCACUGGGUUUAAAGGGUGCGUAGGUGGGCAAGUAAGUCAGUGGUGAAAUCUCCGGGCUUAACCCGGAAACUGCCAUUGAUACUAUUUGUCUUGAAUACUGUGGAGGUCAGCGGAAUAUGUCAUGUAGCGGUGAAAUGCUUAGAUAUGACAUAGAACACCAAUUGCGAAGGCAGCUGGCUACACAAGUAUUGACACUGAGGCACGAAAGCGUGGGGAUCAAACAGG